Long non-coding RNA from Myotis myotis, 388 nucleotides. RefSeq lists it as uncharacterized. Lineage: Eukaryota; Metazoa; Chordata; Mammalia; Chiroptera; Vespertilionidae. The record is from RefSeq and is a predicted model, not a curated record. The transcript is spliced from 3 exons.
CUGCUUUAGGAAGAUCAACCGAGGGGGCAACUGGAGGAUGGAGUGGGAGAGGAAGCGCCUGGAGGAGCCGCCUUUCCAGAGGCGCAGGCUGCCGCGGCUGAAGGCAGGCAAAACGCCACAGCCCAGCUGUGCUGGAAGCUUGUCUGUUUUCCUGAACUCCCCGGAGGCGCUCCAUCCACUGCGCUCAUAACCCAAGGCCUGUUCUGAAGGCUUGCGAAGAGCAGAUAAAAUUAAGAUAUAACCCUGGCCAUGUCGCUCAGUUGGUUAGCAUGUCAUCUCGAUAUGUCAAGUUGCUGGUUCGAUCCCCGGUCAGGGCACAUAUAGAAGCAACCAAUGAAUGCAUAAAUAAGUGGAACAACAAAGCCAUGUUUCUCUCCUUCUCUCUCUC